GACGGGACAGAGCACACACCAGACCCAGCUGCAUUAGUCCCCCACGGGUCCUGCUGGACAGCUGCACAGCCCCACGCAGAAAUGACUGAUUCACGAUCAGCAGAAGGCCUAUAGCCCCCCUUGCAAAUACUGCCAACACUCAAACCCGUUUGUCUGGUUUGCUGGUUAAUUAGCAAGAGUGCCGCAGACCUUAAGACUGCACCCCUAGCUUUAAAACAGUCUGCAGAAGUGAAAAACAGUGGCAACACUACAUGGUAGCAGUUUUCUAGUAUUUCAGCUACCUACAGCUUUUGUAUUUUUCCUUUAAAUCAACAAAGGAAUAUCAAGUAUUUCUUAGUGCUACACAAAGUUCUGAGCUGAAUUGGCUGUCCUGUGUUUAAAUUGCAGAAUUACAUUCAGCUGCUCAGCAUGAUGGAGAAGUUGUACUACAGGAGCAGUUCACCAGAAAGUGAGACAAGAGAUGGGUUCUACACUUUCUGGAAGACACAGCCCAUGGGCCUGGUGUUCAGUCAGUGAAGGUCUUUAAGCCCCUGCUGAAAUUCAGCUUUGACUCACCUCGUCAGAUGACUGGGAGAGUGUCUGGUACGGGUGCGAGGAUUUGGAA
Lepisosteus oculatus (spotted gar) is the source of this 604-nucleotide non-coding RNA. The record is from RefSeq and is a predicted model, not a curated record. NCBI's taxonomy places the organism in Eukaryota, Metazoa, Chordata, Actinopteri, Semionotiformes, Lepisosteidae.